UCGGGAAUUUUGGGCAAUGGGCGAAAGCCUGACCCAGCAACGCCGCGUGAAGGAUGAAGUCUCUCGGGAUGUAAACUUCGUAAGAAUAGGAAGAAUAAAUGACGGUACUAUUUAUAAGGUCCGGCUAACUACGUGCCAGCAGCCGCGGUAAUACGUAGGGACCAAGCGUUGUUCGGAUUUACUGGGCGUAAAGGGCGCGUAGGCGGCAAUUCAAGUCAUCUGUGAAAUCUCCGGGCUUAACUCGGAACGGUCAGAUGAUACUGCUUUGCUAGAGUGCAGAAGGGGCAAUCGGAAUUCUUGGUGUAGCGGUGAAAUGCGUAGAUAUCAAGAGGAACACCUGAGGUGAAGACGGGUUGCUGGGCUGACACUGACGCUGAGGCGCGAAAGCCAGGGGAGCAAACGGGAUUAGAUACCCUUGUAGUCCCUGAGCGGGCUGGCAAGGCGCAU
Molecule: ribosomal RNA, 447 nt
Filed under: uncultured bacterium
Lineage: Bacteria
Description: bacterial SSU rRNA
Rfam family: Bacterial small subunit ribosomal RNA
Source: RNAcentral